CGCCGCUACCUCGCUUUCACUUG
This 23-nucleotide microRNA is filed under the name Aedes aegypti (yellow fever mosquito). Its description in RNAcentral is "Aae-Mir-989_5p* (star (passenger))". The record is from RNAcentral. Lineage: Eukaryota; Metazoa; Arthropoda; Insecta; Diptera; Culicidae.